Arvicola amphibius (Eurasian water vole) is the source of this 2272-nucleotide long non-coding RNA. RefSeq lists it as uncharacterized. The transcript has 2 exons. Lineage: Eukaryota; Metazoa; Chordata; Mammalia; Rodentia; Cricetidae. The record is from RefSeq and is a predicted model, not a curated record.
AUAUGUGUGUCACUAAGGAUGGCUUUUGAGGUUUUCAAAGCCCACACUAGGCCCAAUGCUGCUAGUCUCUCUGCUUGUGGAUCAAGAUAUAGUUCUCAGAUCCUUUUUCCAGCACUACACCUUCCAUGCCUGCUGCCAUGUACCCCACCAUGAUGAUAAUGGACCAAGCUUCUGAAACUACUCAAGUCCCCAGUUGAAUCCUUUCUUUUAUAAGAGCUGCCAUGGACAUGGUGUCUCCUCAUAGCAAGGGAAUGGUGACUAAGACUAUGAAAAUGCUAUGUAAAUCACCGCCUGAUAAUUAAGUUCUAACACACAUGCAUGAAGUAUGCAGUGCUUUCCUGUUCCAUUGCUUUUCUUCAUGGGAGGAAAGGAAGAUAUAAGUGGCCUACAGUUGCAAUGUAGCUGUCCUGUAAAUGUGUGCAGAGGUUUAUUUAGAUGAACAGAUGGACAGAGCAUUUGUCUUGGAAGCAAACAAGACUUUGGGACAACUGUUAAGCUCCAGUCAUCCACCCUUCUCUGAUGACAAUAUUGUUUCCUUUCCUGUACUAAGACCAAACAGCUAUGUCGUAUACUUCUUCAUCCCCUCAAAACUGAAGAAACUGAGGCAAAUGAUUAUAUGAAAACAUUGAAUUACUCAAGGUUACCUUUCAAAUUACCCUUAGAAGCUAAGAGAACAAGGGCCGAUGCUUCCUAGAGUCCUUGUCUACCAUCAAACAGAAUGUGCAAACCUGGUGUCCAGGCACUUUGAUAAUUGAGUCACUCCAUAGGGACAAAAUUGUGAUAUGUGCUCAGGAUUACCUUAUACUUCAAUGAAUGCAAAAUUAACUUUAUAUUGUCUUCAAAAUUCAUUUUUCAUAUGUUUAUGAAAUAAUCUAAACUUUUAACUUGGCCUUUUGACUUAAAAUUUAAAUCACUAAAUAACACAAACCAACAUAACUUUCCCCCUGGCUUUGUACACACAAUAGGUGUUCAGCUAAUACUUGCCCGAUUAAGAAGAUAGAUAAGUGCUUUUCCCAUCCAGUCUCAGUGAAUAUUUAGGUACAAGAAACUCAGGAUGUAGGAUACUGAUACAUAGUGUUUUUAUGUAUAUAAAGAAUGUUCCUUACUGUAUCUGUUCUCUUUGCUUCUAUCAUUGCUGCUGUAUCACCCAUUGCUUCUCACUGUGAUUGUUGAACUACUACAGAUCCCGCCAAAGUUGAGCAGUCAACCAAUUCUCCAACCAGAAAAACCCAUCAUCCUGAAGGUUGUGUCAAGAGAUAAACCCAUAACUGGAGCAUGAAUUUCCCUCAGGAACCAUGUUAUAUUCUUCAGGAGGGCUGUGCCACAGAACACUAGCAAAUUUAAUAUGCCAUACAAUGAUUGAGUGUUCAAUAAUUCAUUGAACAUGCUCAGUGUCUAUACAGAGUAUCAUCUGUUGUGUGAUUCAACAUAAAUAAUUAAGUGAUUGAUAGGUAUGUAGAUUCAUUUUCUGAUUCUCUUGGGACCAUCUACACUGAUUGCAAUUGGUUCCUUCCAUUCUGAACUCCAAAUGUAGUAACUGUUUCUCUGUAGUUCUAUCAAUAAUUUUAAUGAAAAUAGGAACUGUCAUGUUGACUGUUAGUAAAAGUAUAUCAAAUUGUUUCUUGUAAAAUUUUAUGUUAUUGAAAAUAUAAAUAAAAAUCUCUUUCAAAAAUAUAUGAUAUUAUACACAUUAAUGGGAAAACACCAAAUCAACAAAACAAGAUGCUAAUCCUUUCCAAUAAACAUGGUCACCCAUUAUUUGAGCCAAUAGGGGAUCCACACUUGACUCUCAAGAUUGGUGACACUGACCCAUUUUGAAAUGGCACAUUGCUUGAGAAAUUUGUUCAUAGUCCAAUUCGGUAGUCCUUGAAGGAUUUUUAAUAUAACUCAAGUGAAACGUUAAUAUUCUUUUUUAGGCUUGAUCUAUUUUAUCAUCUUCAUCUCCUCUCACUUCUCUGAUAGUCUAUGUUUCCUCAGUCUUCUUCGGAAUGCAUGGUUGUUGCUAUUGUCAACUUCAGAGACACUGGAGGAAGCUUCUCUGGAUGAUGGUUGAGUAAGAUGCUGAUCUGCUUGCCUGGCCAGACACAACACAACUUUGUGUGUGAAUUGAUCCUUAAAGUACAAGAUGAAGUGUCUAGGAAAAUGAUUAAUAAGAGGGAGAAGGAGGAGGAUAUGGCAGGAAUUGUGAUCAAAGACCAUUAUAUGCUUGCAUGAAACUAUUACUAGGUACGAUGUAUAAUGAAUACAUGACAGUAAAACGUGAAUUGAUCUA